This is a long non-coding RNA of Betta splendens (Siamese fighting fish), 2550 nucleotides long. Lineage: Eukaryota; Metazoa; Chordata; Actinopteri; Anabantiformes; Osphronemidae. The record is from Ensembl.
UUGAAGUCCACGGCAUGGCCACAGUGUUUCUGCUGCUGAAAUCACCAAAGGCCCAACUUUCAACAUGGCAAAAUAAUUGACAUAAACUCCUCACAACUCCAAUAAAAACAGCAGUGAUGCAGGUUGGUCACGAGGUCACCAGCAACGGCCUUUUUCAGACUCAUUCCCAACAGAGACGUCCAAUCCCACUAGACACCAUCCAGCCCAUCUACGUCCGAGCCAUCAUCAACCCUAAGCGCGGGAUGGAGGAAGCCCUCCAACCACAAGCACCGCAGCAGCCUAAUACCUGUGGAUCAUCUGGUGCUGAGAAAUCCUGCUUGGAUAUAAGGGUGGCUGUGUUUCUGGUGACUCUGGCUGGAGCUGUGAUACUGCUGCUACUCUACAAGCUCUUACAAGCGAGACACAGACUCAGCGUGGCCAGGGCGAUGCAUGCAGUGGAGUACUACAGCUUCUACCACACUGCCACCUACACCCUCAAACACCCCGGUCCAUGUCAGGACCCACCACCCAAGAACGGGACCGUCGGCGACGCUCCGCCGGUUCUGGCUGUGGCCACAGUCAAACCCGUUGAUAUCACUCCGCUCCCACUGGCACCAACACCUUCCCCAGCGGCUCCUGCCCUACCUCCACCACCUCCUCCACCCGUCCGCGCUCCAUCCUCAUGCCCUCCUGCACCUCCUGUACUGGCUGUGCCCCUGCCUGUCGUAUAUACCACCCCGCCCAGCCCUCACCCGUCACUGGGAGCUUGCUCAGACACUGACGUCUACUCUCGUAUCGGGGCUUUCAGGCCCUCGAGGCUUUCCAGCCUCUCCACCCAUUCAACUGUGAUACUUUUUGAACACUCGUCUCUUUGACUUGGGACCAAUGAUGCAAAUGUGAACUGUACUGGACCGUUCAAUAUAUUCCUUCCAGACGUUGACAGAUAUGCUUCUAUCGAGAAAUUAGGAUAUAAUGAAGUUUGGACAACUAAAAAAAUACCAGCCUUUGGCCAGAACCGCGAAAGAGAAUUCCAACACAAAACACCUUUGUUCUGUUCUUACAGUAACUACUGUAAUACCACUUCUCUCUGUCAUCCUUUCAUUUUCACUGCAUGUAGGGCCUAAAAAUUUGUGUGAUGAAGGACGAAAGGUAACAAGGUGAUGAGACGAUGAGUUGAUGAGCAAGAGGUUUGACCUAAACCUUGUGGCAGUUGUUCAGGGCUCUUCAGUAACCACGCAAACAAAGCAGAUUGACAGCUGCGAUGCUCAGGACAGGACAGGACUUUGUAUAUUUUACAACUGUUGGCAGUUGGGCAAAACAUCACAUUUUUAAUAAGUUUGUUUCUUAUAAUUCUUCAAUCAAAGCAUUCAAAUAUAGAUUUUUUAGAAACGAUGGAUAUUUGCAUAAGAACUUAAGAAGAUAAGAUAUAAGAAGAGCAAAUGUUACACUUGCACAAAGUCAAUUCAAACAUUUGUUACAACCAGAACCCACAUAUCUUAAAACGUGGCAUAGACAUAGACAUAGACUAGUCCCAACCACCGCCAGAGCAGCUGGAUCACUGAGCUCAUAGCUUCCUCUUCCUGGCCUUGUUUUCCAGAGCAGGAUCUCCUCCCAUUCAUAUCACUCAGUCUCAAGAGUCAGUUGUACUCUCUUUAUGUUUCAGACAAGGAUUUUUAAUUGCUCUUAGCAAACUGAAAAGCACAACACAGACCUUAACAAGCACACAUUAUGCAUGUUGUAGUGUAGUGUAGAUCAUAAAUUCACAAACAAAGAUGUUUCAGCUGAAGGUGGUGUGUUGCUGCUUCUCGCUGCUGAAAGCGGAGACCUCAUGUGACAUAUCUGUUUCUGUCUGCGUCUGCUCGUGGAGGCACCGUCUCCAUACUAAAAGCCUUUUAAUUCAAUCUGAGCAUGCACUGCAGCGUUGUCUCUUAAUUUGUUGUAAACCGAGAAGGAAAAGCAUUUGUAACAAUACACCAUGGUAGGAAUUCAAUGAAACAAGGGGAUGUCAUUCAAGGAUAAAUAUGAAUGUGUGUGUUCAUGAGCUGAUCACAGUAGGGGAAGAUUUUCAUUAUAGAUACACAAUGUAGUUGAUUGUGUUGAUUUUUUUUCACAAGCAGGUUGGUGUAAUGCGAUUAAAUGGAAGCAAAAAUAUUCAUCUACCCAAUUCAUUUAAAUUUGUUAUUUAAAUCCAUUUUAUAAGCAACUUGUCUCAUGGUAGUGCUUUAUAUCCAAGUUUCUCAUUAUGAGCAGGUGUCAUGUUUUCCACCAGGGGGAGACAUUCGUAUAUACGUAGUGCCUCUGUAUAUAAAUACACACACUAUAUAAUUAGGUAGUUAGGAACAAUUGUAGGAAGCCUGUCCUCAGCUAUGUAGUAUAAUGUGGGCAGAUCUUUUGCUCACAAAAGCACUGGAACAUGUGGCUGACAGGUGCGUUUUGUGGGGCUAAGUGUAAACGCUGGUGGGUGGUGACAAGAACAUGUGAAAUGUUAUAGUGUUAUAUAAAUGACUUCACAUAAAUGAUACAAUGUCUUUGUUCCUGGAAUAAACCUAAAUGAGGUUUGUGUUAAAUUCA